GACGAACGCUGGCGGCGUGCUUAACACAUGCAAGUCGAACGGCAAGGCCUCUUUCGGGGGGUACUAGAGUGGCGAACGGGUGAGUAACACGUGAGUAACCUGCCCUUGACUUUGGGAUAACUUCAGGAAACUGGGGCCAAAACCGGAUAGGAGCUCCUGCUGCCUGGUGGGGGCUGGAAAGUUUCGGCGGUUGGGGAUGGACUCGCGUCGUAUCAGUGUGUUGGUGGGGUAGUGGCUCACCAAGGCGAUGACGGGGAGCCGGCCUGAGAGGGUGAGGAGCCACAGUGGAACUGAGCAACGGUCCGGACUCUUCCGGGAGGCAGCGGUGGGGAAUAUUGGACAAAGGGCGCAAGCCUGAUCCAGCCCUACUGCGUGGGUGAAGAAGGCCUUCGGGUUGUAAAGCCCUUUUGUUGGGAAAGAAAAGCAGCAGGUUAAUACCCCGCUGUUCUGACGGUACCCAAAGAAUAAGCACCGGCUAACUUCGUG
Molecule: ribosomal RNA, 486 nt
Filed under: uncultured bacterium
Lineage: Bacteria
Description: partial 16S ribosomal RNA
Rfam family: Bacterial small subunit ribosomal RNA
Source: RNAcentral